This 400-nucleotide unclassified non-coding RNA is filed under the name uncultured fungus. RNAcentral describes it as "sequence contains ITS1". The stretch from base 1 to 106 matches the Rfam family "5.8S ribosomal RNA", at positions 50 to 154 of the family's 154-position model. Lineage: Eukaryota; Fungi. The record is from RNAcentral.
GAAAUGCGAUACGUAGUGUGAAUUGCAGAAUUCCGUGAAUCAUCGAAUCUUUGAACGCAUAUUGCGCCCGAGGCCUCUGGCCAAGGGCAUGUCUGCCUCAGCGUCGGCCCAUCCCCUCACAACCCCUUCCCAGUCGCUCCAUUGGAGCCUGGCGGGGGCUGUGGAUCUGGCCGUGUCGGCCGCUGCCCUCUCUCCCUGCCGGGAAGUGGGCAUGCGGCCGAGUCGGCUGAAGCUCAGAGGCCUGAGCAAGAGCCCAUUCAACCGGGCAUCAACAAGGUGGGUGGCCCUCUGGGCUGCAUUGCCGUUGAUGACCGGGGGACUUGCUGGGGGCCUGCAGGAACACCGGCCCUUUACACUGCCGGUGCCGACCAAACUUUUCGACCUGAGAUCAGGCAAGAAC